CACGCUGUAAACGAUCAAUACUAGGUGUGCGGGGACUGACCCCCUGCGUGCCGGAGUUAACACAAUAAGUAUUGCACCUGGGGAGUACGAUCGCAAGGUUGAAACUCAAAGGAAUUGACGGGGGCCCGCACAAGCGGUGGAGCAUGUGGUUUAAUUCGAAGCAACGCGAAGAACCUUACCAGGUCUUGACAUCCCAGUGACCACUCUAGAGAUAGAGUUUUCCCUUCGGGGACAUUGGUGACAGGUGG
This 248-nucleotide ribosomal RNA is filed under the name uncultured bacterium. Its description in RNAcentral is "partial 16S ribosomal RNA". It matches the Rfam family "Bacterial small subunit ribosomal RNA", at positions 796 to 1041 of the family's 1533-position model. The record is from RNAcentral.